CCUCGCGCGUCUUUGUGCUUGGAAAUCUGGCACUGUUUAACAGAACAAGUGGGACUGCAUCUUAGUACAAUGAGGAAGCAGUGUCUGACGCCGACACUGAGUGCGGCUCAAAAUACAGGCAGGAGUACGACGCUACUACUCCAAAGCCCAUUGAACAAUCAGACAAUGCUGAUAAAAGCAACGACAUGCGCGAACAACAACAGUGCUGUUCCAUGGAAUACAGCAAGCAAUGCGUUCCCCAAGUACUAAAAAGGAAAGGAUUGCAGUGAUGAGAUUGUUGCAUCUUUCAUUCCACUGAGGAAGAAGCUGAUGGUGGUAAUGUCUGGAACUUCGAUGGGGCACUGUGAGUUCUACAAGAGCAAGAGCACUGAGCAUAUAAUACAUCGCACAUGGACUUUGGCAACAUUCAUCUUUGUGAUGUCAGUGGGAACAAGCGGCUUUUACAGCCGGUUAUGGUAUCUGCAGGGUUAACCUACCAUUAUAAACGAUCAUUGUAAGUUGUA
Long non-coding RNA from Ornithodoros turicata, 503 nucleotides. RefSeq lists it as uncharacterized. Lineage: Eukaryota; Metazoa; Arthropoda; Arachnida; Ixodida; Argasidae. The transcript is spliced from 3 exons. The record is from RefSeq and is a predicted model, not a curated record.